ACUCUGUGUUCUAAGUACUUCCACAGCAAACAAGACCCGGGCUCAGGCCUGAGGCCUGAAACCUGAGGCUGCAAAUUGAUAAACCAGCUUCUGAUUUCUAAUCUCUCUUCCAAAACAUAGCAAGGCUUAGAUCACAUAGCAGAAAACAUUCUUUCGUACCUGGAUGCCAGGUCUCUGUGUGCAGCAGAGCUGGUAUGUAAAGAAUGGCAGCGAGUGAUCUCAGAAGGAAUGCUUUGGAAGAAGCUGAUUGAACGAAUGGUACGCACUGAUCCCCUAUGGAAAGGACUUUCAGAAAGAAGAGGGUGGGAUCAGUACCUGUUUAAAAACAGACCCACAGAUGGCCCUCCAAAUUCAUUUUAUAGGUCAUUAUACCCAAAGAUUAUCCAGGAUAUAGAGACUAUAGAAUCUAACUGGCGGUGUGGACGACACAACUUGCAGAGGAUUCAGUGCCGCUCUGAAAAUAGUAAAGGUGUCUACUGUUUACAGUACGACGAUGAAAAAAUUAUCAGUGGCCUACGAGAUAAUUCUAUUAAGAUAUGGGAUAAAACCAGCCUGGAAUGUUUGAAAGUGUUAACAGGACACACAGGCUCUGUCCUCUGUCUGCAGUAUGAUGAGCGUGUCAUUGUAACCGGCUCUUCAGAUUCUACAGUGAGAGUGUGGGAUGUGAACACGGGUGAAGUUCUUAACACAUUGAUCCACCACAAUGAGGCCGUACUGCACUUACGCUUCAGCAAUGGACUGAUGGUGACCUGUUCCAAGGACCGCUCCAUUGCUGUGUGGGACAUG
This 786-nucleotide small RNA is filed under the name Pongo abelii (Sumatran orangutan). RNAcentral's name for it is "processed transcript". Lineage: Eukaryota; Metazoa; Chordata; Mammalia; Primates; Hominidae. The record is from RNAcentral.